CGCACCGCUGGGUCCGCCUCUCUGGCGCUAGACCAGACCCUGGUGAGGCUGCUUCCGUGGCGGGCACCAUCGCCUGCAACGCAGGCUCAGGCUCGUAGGUUCAGCCCGGCCGGGCGCAAACCAGGGAAGGAGGCCCCGGGCAGGGUCUUAGACUCCAAAGCCUGUGAAGCAGCCCAGCGCCCAGCGGUCAGGAGCUUCAAGGAUGAGAGAGGGACUCGUCCCUUCCAGGAACGUCCUGCCUUCACCUGUUCUUCAGGUGUGCCAGCAAGUCUGGGUGCAGCAACAGGAGACACAGACAGAGGGAGGAGCAGGCUCCCUGCGGGGAGCCGGAAGCAUGACUCAAUCCCAGACCCCCAGCAUCAUGCCCUGAACCAAAGGCAGGUGCCCAACGGCUGAGCCACUCAGGCGUCCCAAUCUUUGUGGUUUUUAGUCAUCGAAAUCCUUGUAGAUAUUACAUAGCCCUUGGUAGCACCUUCUCCCCUUUCUUCAGUGGCUAAUAAAACAUUGGACCCUCUCUGAGCCUGCGAAUCCCACACCCAA
Molecule: long non-coding RNA, 540 nt
Organism: Nyctereutes procyonoides (raccoon dog)
Lineage: Eukaryota; Metazoa; Chordata; Mammalia; Carnivora; Canidae
Exons: 3
Source: RefSeq, a predicted model, not a curated record